GAAAUAACUACACGAGAGAUCCCUUAUGUCCUUAUGUUUCGAAUGUAACUCCCCAGGAUCUUCACAAACCACAACACUAUAUAUUAGUGUAAUGGUAGAGUAUUGUGAGUACAGGUACUUCAUUAAUAUAACUUUUUGACCACCUCUGCUGCCGCUUCAGAAUUUUAAAACUUUUGCAAUCCUCUCCCUCAUUACUUUCCUUACUUUACCAUUCACCACAAAAGCGCACAAUUUUUUUAAAAAUAAAAUUCGGGCGAGUAUAGUUUGUUUAUUCAAAUGUGUGAAGCUGAAAGUGAAAAGAACACAAUGUUCAAUGUUUGCGAAAUGUAUUUUGCUCCAAACUCGAAGUAAAUGAUUAAACCUUUCCCGGUUUAUACUCAGCAUUAACAUUAAUUAGGCAGAAGUUCAAAUAAACCGUCUGUGACAGCCUUGCCCGACUGCCAGCCCUCUGCCUAAAAACAUAUUCGGAGUAGAAAACACGCGAACAGCCUUGGAUCAUUCUCGAGUUGCGUUUUUGCUUAAGAAUGCGAAUCACUCAUGAAUGAUGACUGCGCCCCGGCCAAGUAAAUGGCGUUUCACGCUGUGGUGGACAAGUAAACUAUCUCGAACUCCUUGAGUGGACGAAUUAUAUUUUUCCAGGAUCGACAACUCAACUCGUCCUUUUCAAUGGGAUGUGUCUGAUUGGAGGCACGAUUUGAGAUCAUGUUGAGUUACUGCUGUGGUUCAUUGGAAUCUCCCAUGAUGAAACUGAGUAUGUCGGCCGAUGGCUUUCACUUCGCAGGGCUUCAAGGCAGCUGUUCAGCACCAUCUGAGAUCAACCCCUAUCCAAAAAGUGAGUCUGCAGUGGGGAUGGACGCGUCCUGGAGCAAGCAGUCCAUAUUCUUUACCUGCCGAACCAAUCACAAAGACACGAAGCUUUCAUUCAGGCAGACCUUGUCUUCGCAAGGGAAAAUCACCGGCCUGUCCAGGAGUAGUAAGGUAUAAGUUUCCAUGUUUUGUUUUCCUUGCAUUUGUUGUUUGCUGCUCACUUUUAACUUCUUUCAGAUAAUCUUACAACAGAGAAAUUACAGGCUGUUUUUAAGAUUUUAGUGUCCAAUGUGCCUGAUAUGUUGGAGGGUAUUGGUAUGUGCCUUUGAAACCCCACCAUGACUUUAACUAACAUUUCUGUUUGUCAGUUUGUUUAGAGAGAGCGAGAAAAACGACAAAAGUAAUAAUGUACAAGAAGAGUAAAAGCGCCCAGUAAAGGCAACAAGCAUGUGCAGCUGAUUGAUGUGCAAGCAUCAGCGCAGCCAAGCAGCUGACUACCCGUGUGUGGCCUAGCAUGGUGCUUGCAUCGAUGGGGUGGGGUCCGGGCUGUGAAUUGCAAAGGGCGUACGCCAUGGGUCAGCGGCAAGCCUAAUACGAUGGCGGUGAAUUUCUCAUGAUCUGUCCAUAGAUUCCCAAAGGUGGCUCGGCUGCACGGAGCUCGAUCAAGACUGGGAGAAGAACCCUCCACUCGUUUGUUUUCUUUCGACUGAACACAACAUCAUUAGUGGUGGCUUGUUCUUGCUUGGGCUAAUCACUAGCUGUCUGAUAAAAUGUGGGCGGAAUGCAGCUGAUUCUUAAACAUUGAGAGCUCUUUAUCUGAGCAUGAAGGUGAACUUCAUACAAUCCAGGUGUAAUACGUUUUUCAAUAAAAUAUUCUAUCGUUUUUGGGGGUUAUUUUUGCUACAUUUCAUUUG
This is a long non-coding RNA of Eptatretus burgeri (inshore hagfish), 1721 nucleotides long. NCBI's taxonomy places the organism in Eukaryota, Metazoa, Chordata, Myxini, Myxiniformes, Myxinidae. The record is from Ensembl.